This is a long non-coding RNA of Alosa sapidissima (American shad), 170 nucleotides long. RefSeq lists it as uncharacterized. The record is from RefSeq and is a predicted model, not a curated record. The transcript has 3 exons. Lineage: Eukaryota; Metazoa; Chordata; Actinopteri; Clupeiformes; Clupeidae.
AUGGUGAUUUUAUUUUCGUUAGAUCUUUGCCUAGAUUGACGCUAAUGCAUUAUAGAGGAGUGGAUCACCGCGGCAAGAUGGCGUCUCGAUUGACGCAUUCGUUCCAAUGAACAGCAGUAGUCAAGGCGACAUCUAGUCAGUAUAUAUAUCUAUGACCAAUGUUAAUUCUC